This 263-nucleotide ribosomal RNA is filed under the name uncultured bacterium. Its description in RNAcentral is "partial 16S ribosomal RNA". It matches the Rfam family "Bacterial small subunit ribosomal RNA", at positions 91 to 354 of the family's 1533-position model. The record is from RNAcentral.
CUUAGUGGCGGACGGGUGAGUAACGCGUGGGGAACCUGCCCUGUACAGGGGGAUAACACUUAGAAAUAGGUGCUAAUACCGCAUAAGCGCACAGUAUCGCAUGAUACAGUGUGAAAAACUCCGGUGGUACAGGAUGGACCCGCGUCCGAUUAGCUGGUUGGCGGGGUAACGGCCCACCAAGGCGACGAUCAGUAGCCGGCCUGAGAGGGUGAACGGCCACAUUGGGACUGAGACACGGCCCAAACUCCUACGGAAGGCAGCAG